AAUGAACGUUGGCGGCGUGGAUUAGGCAUGCAGGUCGAGCGCGAACCCCGCAAGGGGUGAAAGCGGCGAAAGGGAGAGUAACGCGUGGGUAUCUGCCCUCGGGACUGGGAUAGCUGCGGGAAACUGCAGGUAAUACCAGAUGACGUCCCCGGACCAAAGGUGUGAUUCCGCCUGAGGAUGAGCCCGCGGCCUAUUAGCUAGUUGGUGGGGUAAUGGCCUACCAAGGCAAUGAUGGGUACUGGGUGUGAGAGCAGGACCCAGCUCACUGGGACUGAGACACUGCCCAGACACCUACGGGUGGCUGCAGUCGAGAAGCUUCGGCAAUGGGCGAAAGCCUGACCGAGCGACGCCGCGUGUGGGAUGAAGGCCUUCGGGUUGUAAACCGCUGUCAGAGGGGAGGAAUGGGCGGAGGGUAAUCUCUUCGUUUUGACCUACCCUCAGAGGAAGUACGGGCUAAGUUCGUGCCAGCCGCCGCGGUAA
RNAcentral lists this ribosomal RNA (480 nucleotides) under uncultured bacterium. RNAcentral describes it as "partial 16S ribosomal RNA". It matches the Rfam family "Bacterial small subunit ribosomal RNA", at positions 28 to 523 of the family's 1533-position model. The record is from RNAcentral.